UCAAAGGUUUGCUAGGGUUCCGCUGGGAAGACUAGGACUGGUCCAAGAGCAAACGGCUCACGAUUGAGCUACACGGAAGGAUAAAAGCCUGGGAGAU
RNAcentral lists this small RNA (97 nucleotides) under Sulfobacillus thermosulfidooxidans. Its description in RNAcentral is "Guanidine-I sequence". It matches the Rfam family "Guanidine-I riboswitch aptamer". Rfam says of the family: This family represents a conserved RNA structure found upstream of the ykkC and yxkD genes in Bacillus subtilis and related genes in other bacteria. The function of this family is unclear although it has been suggested that it may function to switch on efflux pumps and detoxification systems in response to harmful environmental molecules. RNAcentral also lists the same sequence under 1 other name. The record is from RNAcentral. Lineage: Bacteria; Bacillati; Bacillota; Clostridia; Eubacteriales; Clostridiales Family XVII. Incertae Sedis.